Xenopus laevis (African clawed frog) is the source of this 1848-nucleotide long non-coding RNA. RefSeq lists it as uncharacterized. Lineage: Eukaryota; Metazoa; Chordata; Amphibia; Anura; Pipidae. The transcript has 2 exons. The record is from RefSeq and is a predicted model, not a curated record.
CGGGUUGAGCUGUCAAAAGAGGGACUGUCCCUCCGAAAAAGGGACAGUUGGGAGGUAUGGCACCAGUCUCCAUUCGAUCAACUGCAGUCUGCAGUGUGAGGAGGUGAUAAUAGGAACGUGUGAGUGGAACACCAGGACGCUGAUAAGAGCAAGCCAGCAGCGCCAGUCUCCAUACGUUCGGCUGCAGCCCUCAGUGUGAGGACGCGAUAACAGGAGCGUGUGGGUGAGGGGAACACGAGGACUCUGACAAGACUAAAGACAAGCUUCGCUGUAAACGUUGGAGGGACGGGACCGUUAUCUACUUUAAAGCCAUUCUAACUACAUGCGAGCUUAACACCGGCGAUCCUGUAAGUAUAAAUCAAGCAGGGACCCGGUGUUUUAGUAUAUGGAAGCGCACAUUGGCCUCUGUCUUUCUCUAUUUUUUAUUUGAGGUGGAGCACGAAGGGGAUACUGUGUGUCAAACAGGAGAAUUAAUCACCACGUACCUGUCUUCCAUCUGCCUGUAUUUAAAGAUCUUUACGGAACUGUUUUUUCAAAAAAAGAAAUCGAUCUGUUGUGAGGAAAAGCACUUUGUUGGAUUUGGGUCACAGCUGUCUGUAGUCCCGGUGCAUUCUGCUCCCCUUUGGGUCUCGCCUCGCACCCGCCUCUCUCUCUCACACACAGGAAGUCUCUGAUCUGGGUCCGCUGAACAUUUGGGGAAAUGAAAGAGCAGCCAAGAGGGAAGAGGAUACGACAGUAGAGAGAAGACACAAUCGCAAGAUCAUGAAUACAGUAAAAGCUCUGACUUUGAGGUUUUUAAGUACUGAACUUGUGGGCAUGACUUGGGUAAAAUGUGAAAAGUCCUAAAAAACAAGCCCUAGAAAACUUGCGUAAAGGCUAAGAGGAAGGACUUUAUUACUCGCCCAUGGGUCUGCCAUUCUAGUGACAGUCGUUUUCGCCAUUGCCACGUAAAGAGGUAAAAUAAAUGUAGGUGUAAAUAGUUACGUUAAUGUGCAACCCCUAAGGUUGGUCUGUAGGUUAAUUCCCCUGCAGGAGAUCAUAUGAGUCAGUUUCUUGCUGAGGAACUUACUCUUUUGGCCUAGGACGAUCUAGAGGCAACAUCCAGACCAAACUGACCAGACCUACGGGGAGGUUAGUACCGUCAGGGCUAGCUAGAGGAUAGUAGUGGCAAGUGAGUUUAGGAGUGAAAGUUAGAGAGGGCCAUCGAAUCUUCGCCAGCAUUAGCCACUUCACCAUUUAGUAAAUCUGCCCCAAGGAAUGACUUGGUGGGGGGUAGAGCCCCUAAGGCGAUAGUGCGCCAUUAUUAGAGAUCUGAGAGUGUAGGUAUAGGAUUCGUUCAAGGGACCUACAGUGGAAGCUUGGGCACUGUACAUGGAGGCCUUAUUGAAAUAUGCUCUAGGGUGCGCGUGUGUGUGUGUGUGUGCGUGUGUGUGUGAGAGAGAGCAAUUCAAACAGAGAAGGCAGGAGUAGUAAUUAUUGUACAAUUAUCAUCCUUUGCUGGCAGCCAGAGUCAUCAGUAAACGGUGGGCUGAGUUCAUUGCACUUGUGUGAAGAUGUCUUCUUCUGUCAGCAAAGGUCCUGUAAGUGUCUUACAGUAGUGGGUGCUCACCAGCCAUGGGUGGCCCCUUUACAGCCAUCUUGCCUCACUGACUCCUUCUUGCUCUUCUUGCUCUUCCAAGCCUAACUACAGCUGUCCCUCUGCUGCUCUCCACUGUGCAAGGCCAAUCUUACCGGUGUAAUACUGAACUAUGGCAGAAAGGGCUGAUAAAAAGUCCUUGGCUGGGGCCCACUAUAGUCACUGGCCCUCUGGGAGAUCCACUGGUACUAUAAUAAACCAGUCCAACUCUG